AUAGAUAUACAGUAUCAAAUCCUACGCAGCCAGCCUCUACACUCCAACUCCGUCCAACCCUACACUCCAUGUGGGGAUAUAAUCCACCCACCCAUCCCUACACUCCAAAUAGUACCGAAUACGGCACUAGACAGUAGUUGCAGCUGAGCUGCUAGUAAGUUAGGCUAAAAGCCUUUCAGUACACUUUCUCCAAUCAAUAUCAAUCCCCA
This 209-nucleotide long non-coding RNA is filed under the name Gossypium raimondii (Peruvian cotton). RNAcentral describes it as "long non-coding RNA (GRAI_LNC009879)". The record is from RNAcentral. Lineage: Eukaryota; Viridiplantae; Streptophyta; Magnoliopsida; Malvales; Malvaceae.